Molecule: long non-coding RNA, 382 nt
Organism: Ornithodoros turicata
Lineage: Eukaryota; Metazoa; Arthropoda; Arachnida; Ixodida; Argasidae
Exons: 3
Source: RefSeq, a predicted model, not a curated record
UGCCUGGAUCGCACAUCAAGAUGUUCAAGGGUAUCCUGGUUCUCCUUUUCGUGACUAUGGCAGUGGCAGAAUGGUCUGAAACGAAGGUACCGAAUUGUACCCUGGGCCAGAAUCCUUGUGGACCAGAAGGCAUUGGCGCAGAACAACUGUGGUUCUACCUAGGUGGUCAACGUGAUACGUGCCUGCAAUCAGGGACAUGCAGGGAGUAUGAUCAAUACGGUUUUCACAAAUUAAAGGAGUGCGAAAGAAGUCAUAAACACUGCCCAGCUGAGGAGGCCAAACGACGAGCUACGACUGGAGGCUCCUCGUAGGGCGUUGUGCCAAGUUCAUUGUGCACUACAAAGGAAUGUUAUAGGGAUAAUAAAUAAUGCAGUUCAGUUAC